RNAcentral lists this ribosomal RNA (516 nucleotides) under uncultured Actinomycetes bacterium. Its description in RNAcentral is "bacterial SSU rRNA". It matches the Rfam family "Bacterial small subunit ribosomal RNA", at positions 372 to 903 of the family's 1533-position model. Lineage: Bacteria; Bacillati; Actinomycetota; Actinomycetes. The record is from RNAcentral.
UGGGCGAAGCCUGAUGCAGCGAUGCCGCGUGCGGGAAGAAGGCCCUAGGGUUGUAAACCGCUUUCAGGAGGGAAGAAAAUGACGGUACCUCCAGAAGAAGGUGCGGCCAACUACGUGCCAGCAGCCGCGGUGACACGUAGGCACCAAGCGUUAUCCGGAUUUAUUGGGCGUAAAGAGCUCGUAGGCGGUUUGGUAAGUCGGGUGUGAAAACUCUGGGCUCAACCCAGAGAGGCCACUCGAUACUGCUAUGACUAGAGUACGGUAGGGGAGCGGGGAAUUCCUGGUGUAGCGGUGAAAUGCGCAGAUAUCAGGAGGAACACCAGCGGCGAAGGCGCCGCUCUGGGCCGUAACUGACGCUGAGGAGCGAAAGCAUGGGUAGCAAACAGGAUUAGAUACCCUGGUAGUCCAUGCCGUAAACGUUGGGCACUAGGUGUGGGUCUCAACCAACGAGAUCCGCGCCGUCGCUAACGCAUUAAGUGCCCCGCCUGGGGAGUACGGUCGCAAGACUAAAACUCA